This 437-nucleotide ribosomal RNA is filed under the name uncultured Lachnospiraceae bacterium. Its description in RNAcentral is "bacterial SSU rRNA". It matches the Rfam family "Bacterial small subunit ribosomal RNA", at positions 341 to 792 of the family's 1533-position model. The record is from RNAcentral. Lineage: Bacteria; Bacillati; Bacillota; Clostridia; Lachnospirales; Lachnospiraceae.
ACGGGAGGCAGCAGUGGGGAAUAUUGGGCAAUGGGCGAAAGCCUGACCCAGCAACGCCGCGUGAAGGAAGAAGGCCUUCGGGUUGUAAACUUCUUUUACCAGGGACGAAGGACGUGACGGUACCUGGAGAAAAAGCAACGGCUAACUACGUGCCAGCAGCCGCGGUAAUACGUAUGGUGCAAGCGUUAUCCGGAUUUACUGGGUGUAAAGGGAGCGCAGGCGGUUCUGCAAGCCAGAGGUGAAAACCCGGGGCUCAACCCCGUGAUUGCCUUUGGAACUGUAGGACUUGAGUACUGGAGGGGCAGGCGGAAUUCCUGGUGUAGCGGUGAAAUGCGUAGAUAUCAGGAGGAACACCGGUGGCGAAGGCGGCCUGCUGGACAGAAACUGACGCUGAGGCUCGAAAGCGUGGGGAGCAAACAGGAUUAGAUACCCUGGUA